GGGAGGGGGAGGCUUUAGGCAGAGAUCUCACCUGGAAAAGGAAGGAUCAGAGCAGGAGAUGCUCUGGAGUUGUGGUCCAGGCUCAGCCUGAGGCUGGAGGAAUCCCCAGUCCCUGGGAGUAAAGAGAAUUUUGGACCUUUCUGCCUGGUGGCUGAGCCAAACAUUUGGGUACUUUCUGACCUGAGUGCACCCAUGCAUUUUUUGCUACCUGGAUUUCAGGAAUGAGCCGUGCCUGAGGAGGGAGAGAUUCCUCCCUUCACAGGAUGUUCAGAAACGCUCUCAUCUUUAGGUUUAGUGCAGAAAGAAUUGGGUUCUGGAGCUGGAAUUCCUGCUGACCCCCACUACUUGCACAUAGAACCCGCGUCGCACAGAUAUUCUCCAUGGGUUGGCAUAGCACUCAUGUUUGCAGUGCAGAACCCUCCUUCCCCACCUAGUGCCCUUUGGCCAUGGACCAGCUCAUCAGGUUGGCUUCGUCCUUUCCUGGAUUAAAGGAACUGUUCCUCAGGGAUGAGUCAGCCUGGCCUGAUCCUUGCUGCAGGUUGAGGACUCACAUUAUGCAAUUAGUUCUGCAUUUCCCCAAAACUGAUGCAAAUGAGGGGGAAUCGCUCCAAACUGCAGCUUUUUGCAACCUUUAGGCACAAAGUUUGCAUUGCCUCCGGCAGGAUGGAAAUGGACAAACGAUGGGUGAUGGGCAUCAUUUGGAACCCAGCACUAAGCACAGCUCUGAGCAGAUGCACAACACUCCAACCCCUGGACCCCCCCUGCACAACUGCAACACCCACACACUGACCUAGGAUGGAUCCUUAAAAAAGGAUCCCUGCCAGAUUUCUUGAAAUGAGCUAUUUUGUACAACAGAAAUUAAAUCAACGCUGUUAUCAUUCUUGGGCAGCAGCCCCUUGAGGAAAGCAGGGAGGCAGAAGGGUGAAGCAUUUCCCAUUCAAAGAUACUUCUUUACUUCUGGGGUCAAGGAGAGGGAAUUGGGUGCUCCUGAGGAACAGGGUAUGAGCAUCCAGCACCAAUGUUGGUGACGAGGGGUGUGGGUGCCAAAGCAGCAGUCACACCAAUGACUGAUGUCAUUGCAUGCUCUUGGAAUAACUUGAAAGAAAGUCAUCGGAGAGGGGUGGGACGCUUCGGGGACAGUGAGCCUCUGGUGUUUGUCAAUCCUUCAAGGAAACGAGGACAGGGAAGCCACAGCUGUCACGCUUGGUAAUUAAAGGGAAAGUUGUACCUUGGACAGAUGGGGAUUUGCGAUGCUGAGCAGCACGGUGACUGUGUUUGCAAAAGUGCCUGGGGGAAAAACAGUGGCUGCUCUCUGUAGGAAGCUGAGGAGCUGGGAGGACAGGUGUGCAAUUACUGGGAUGUCCAAGGCACCAAGCUGGCUUCUGGUCAUUGUCAUUUCCCCAUGCAAGCCAUUCCUGGAUGGAGAACAAGAGAGCCAGGUGCUGAGCACUGCCUGGUGUCACACGCAGGUGGUUACCCCAUAGGGAUUUCAGUGAGAAUAAGCAACCACAUAAUAACAAGAACAAAGAGAAUAAUGAGGCAACACUGAUGCGUGGAGCAAGAAAGAACGCUGGAAUUCCCCAAACAAACCUUCGCCAGCGUGCAGGCAGUCCAGCUAUUAAACCAAACCUUGGGUUUCUGAGACCUUGCUCAUCCUUCUGAAAGCAGCAGGUUUCCCUUAACGUGCUUCCCUGUGUCCUCCAACACAGGAUGGCCAGGGAAUCCUGUGCAACCUGUGGUUCACAGCCAGACUUUCUCUUUUCUGUGUUUCUGUGCCAUUCCCAGCUUGUUGUUUUUUUUUUUUCCUCCCAUUUACUGAGUGCUGGGUUUCACUGCAGCGCAGUUCCCAAUCCAAGGCAGUGGUUGAGGAGAGGUGCCCAGCUGGAUUUCAAGCCCACCAUGGACACGUGAAAGAAACAACUUCCUAAAGCAGGAGAUGGAGAUCAGAAAGCUCAGGAAUCCACCGCAGAAACACACUGCAAUAAAUAGAAGCAUGACUUUGCAUCUGAUCUGGUUCCCCGGAGGAUGUGGCUAAGCCAGUGGGGAGCUCAGCUCCAGGAGGAAGCAGCUAUAAUCAUCACGGUUGCUUGGCUUUAUCUCCCUGGCUGUGUGGUUUGCUGGCAACUCAGAGAGCCCAUGUCUGGGGAUGGAGGCUAUGAGCCUGUGAGCUGCUCAAAAGGGAGAUACAGGCUGCAGUGCCCCCCAGGGCAGAUCCAGGCACGUCUGGGUGCUGAGCAUUGGGCUGCAAGGAAUGGAAGCUGGCUGCAACUUCCUCCAGGACAAAUGCUUCUCUUUAUCACAGUCAGCCCAGAGAGGACAACCAUUACACAGAGCUUACGCACCCAGCCACUGCCUCUGCCAUGAUACACUGUCAUUUUUUUUGCGUGCUGGUGGCAAAAUGAGCCACAAAAAAUGACUCUAACCAUUCAUUAAGAUAAUAGGUACAUAUUCUGCAAGCUCUCCCUUCUGUAAUCUCUUUAAUCUGAGUGUCCAUCUGGAAGGCUUUAUGAAUUGCUGGGUGCUUACCAGCACAGCAUUGUUGUUUCUCCUGGUUCCCAUUUGUUGUUUUUGUUUGGCUUUGACCAAGAGCCCCACCUCUGCUCCUGAAUCUGCCUCAGUCACUUCCAUUGACUAUGCAUGGGGCCUGUGCCUCCAGCUUCAGCUCGGUGGUGGAGGAAACCUGCACAGGAAGAGUGUUUAUUCUCUCAUUAUCCUACUUGCCAAGACAUUUAGGCCUUUAAUGAGGUUUGCUCUCUAACGUUUCCCCAUGUCCCCCUCCGAAGAGCAAUGUUUCCAUGUCCCCCUCUAUAGAGUCAUGUCUCAGCUCCACAAGCAUGCAGAGGUUGCAUUGCUGAUAAA
Molecule: long non-coding RNA, 2859 nt
Organism: Numida meleagris (helmeted guineafowl)
Lineage: Eukaryota; Metazoa; Chordata; Aves; Galliformes; Numididae
Exons: 3
Source: RefSeq, a predicted model, not a curated record